UCACUUUCUCUCUCUAGCAGCGGCGCCCUCUCCCUUCUCUCUAAAAAUCUCUUCUCUCUUCCGGCGCCGGCGUCUUCCCCUCUCUUCUCGCCGACCUCUCUCUCUCUCUCCCUACUUGCCGGCAGAUCUCUCUUUUCUCUCUUCCGAACGACAAAUCGGGCACCCCCUUUCUUCGGUCGGCGGCGACCCAAACGGGCCUGAGUUUUCUCCCGGAUCUCACCCUUUUCUCCCUGUUUUUCUUUGUGUUGUUUCUCUCCCCUUUUUGUGGCUAACUGCUGUCUGUUUCUCUUUUUUGCAGGGUUUUUAAAGAGCCGGGUUGUCCAAAAAAUUGGACAACCCGGCGAGGGGGGUUCUGGCACCCCUGGAGUUGGUGGCCAAAACCCCCCCCCCCAUCCCGCGUAGUGGGUGGGGGAUGGGACGGCG
Molecule: long non-coding RNA, 423 nt
Filed under: Theobroma cacao (cacao)
Lineage: Eukaryota; Viridiplantae; Streptophyta; Magnoliopsida; Malvales; Malvaceae
Description: long non-coding RNA (TCAC_LNC001370)
Source: RNAcentral